This 253-nucleotide ribosomal RNA is filed under the name uncultured Eubacteriales bacterium. RNAcentral's name for it is "uncultured Clostridiales bacterium partial 16S ribosomal RNA". It matches the Rfam family "Bacterial small subunit ribosomal RNA", at positions 524 to 776 of the family's 1533-position model. The record is from RNAcentral. Lineage: Bacteria; Bacillati; Bacillota; Clostridia; Eubacteriales.
UACGUAGGGGGCGAGCGUUAUCCGGAUUCACUGGGUGUAAAGGGAGCGUAGACGGCCAUGCAAGCCAGGGGUGAAAGCCCGUGGCCCAACCACGGGACUGCUCUGGAAACUGUGUUGCUGGAGUGCAGGAGGGGUAAGCGGAAUUCCUAGUGUAGCGGUGAAAUGCGUAGAUAUUAGGAGGAACACCGGUGGCGAAGGCGGCUUACUGGACUGUAACUGACGUUGAGGCUCGAAGGCGUGGGGAGCAAACAGG